This 72-nucleotide transfer RNA is filed under the name Haloechinothrix alba. RNAcentral's name for it is "Pseudonocardineae bacterium YIM 93221 tRNA". It matches the Rfam family "tRNA". From Rfam's summary of the family: Transfer RNA (tRNA) molecules are approximately 80 nucleotides in length. The record is from Rfam by way of RNAcentral. Lineage: Bacteria; Bacillati; Actinomycetota; Actinomycetes; Pseudonocardiales; Pseudonocardiaceae. RNAcentral also lists the same sequence under 1 other name.
UCCCCCGUAGCUCAAUGGCAGAGCAUUCGGCUGUUAACCGAAGGGUUACUGGUUCGAGUCCAGUCGGGGGAG